Molecule: ribosomal RNA, 337 nt
Filed under: uncultured bacterium
Lineage: Bacteria
Description: bacterial SSU rRNA
Rfam family: Bacterial small subunit ribosomal RNA
Source: RNAcentral
CUGUACAGUUCAGAGUUUGAUCCUGGCUCAGGACGAACGCUGGCGGCGUGCUUAACACAUGCAAGUCGAACGAUGAAGCCCAGCUUGCUGGGUGGAUUAGUGGCGAACGGGUGAGUAACACGUGAGUAACCUGCCCUUCACUUCAGGAUAACUCCGGGAAACCGGUGCUAAUACUGGAUAUGAUCACUUCCCGCAUGGGAUGGUGGUGGAAAGCUUUUCGGUGGGGGAUGGACUCGCGGCCUAUCAGCUUGUUGGUGGGGUAAUGGCCUACCAAGGCGACGACGGGUAGCCGGCCUGAGAGGGCGACCGGCCACACUGGGACUGAGACACGGCCCAG